CAGUGACAAGCCUCAAUGGUAUCAUAAUCAACUAAUUUUUUGACCUGUAUAUGUUAAUAAUAUAUAUUAUUAUCCCUUUUCCAAGAUUUUUGUGUUUUAAUAGUUUAUUUGAAGUGCUUGUGCAAAUGGGUUUUUGUUUUAUCUGCGUGUGCAUUAUCUAGUUGUGCAAUUUUAUGACUUUUGUGCCCCUUUUCCAUAUAUUCAAAUGGGUUAUGUUUUUGUGCAUGUGCCUUUUCGCCCAUAUGUGCAGCUGUUCUGUUCAUAUGCUUUAAAAUUUUAUAAAUUGAAGUAUUAAUGGUUCGCUUUUGGGGGAAACUAAGAAAUUGCCGCAUAUGGCGGUUCACUUUGAGGAAAGCGACACUCAGUUCUCCACUUCAGGCAAAAACAAG
Molecule: unclassified non-coding RNA, 389 nt
Filed under: Hevea brasiliensis (rubber tree)
Lineage: Eukaryota; Viridiplantae; Streptophyta; Magnoliopsida; Malpighiales; Euphorbiaceae
Source: RNAcentral